GGAGACUGGUAAUGCCGUGUGAAC
This 24-nucleotide non-coding RNA is filed under the name Arabidopsis thaliana (thale cress). The record is from RNAcentral. Lineage: Eukaryota; Viridiplantae; Streptophyta; Magnoliopsida; Brassicales; Brassicaceae.